GAUGAAGAACGCAGUGAAAUGCGAUAAGUAAUGUGAAUUGCAGAAUUCAGUGAAUCAUCGAAUCUUUGAACGCACAUUGCGCCCGCCAGUAUUCUGGCGGGCAUGCCUGUCCGAGCGUCAUUUCAACCCUCGAACCCCUCCGGGGGGUCGGCGUUGGGGAUCGGCCCUCCCUUAGCGGGUGGCCGUCUCCGAAAUACAGUGGCGGUCUCGCCGCAGCCUCUCCUGCGCAGUAGUUUGCACACUCGCAUCGGGAGCGCGGCGCGUCCACAGCCGUUAAACACCCAACUUCUGAAAUGUUGACCUCGGAUCAGGUAGGAAUACCCGCUGAACUUAAGCAUAUCAAUAAGCGGAGGA
RNAcentral lists this unclassified non-coding RNA (354 nucleotides) under soil metagenome. Its description in RNAcentral is "partial contains 5.8S ribosomal RNA, internal transcribed spacer 2, and large subunit ribosomal RNA". The stretch from base 1 to 120 matches the Rfam family "5.8S ribosomal RNA", at positions 35 to 154 of the family's 154-position model. The record is from RNAcentral.